Long non-coding RNA from Raphanus sativus (radish), 618 nucleotides. RefSeq lists it as uncharacterized. The record is from RefSeq and is a predicted model, not a curated record. NCBI's taxonomy places the organism in Eukaryota, Viridiplantae, Streptophyta, Magnoliopsida, Brassicales, Brassicaceae. The transcript has 4 exons.
AUCACAUAAAUCGAUUGACGCUUCUUCUUCUCCAUCGACGCUUCUUCUUCUCCAUCGACGCCGCUCUCUUCUCUUCUCCUUUGAGCUUUCUCUUCUUCAAGCUUCGUCUCGUCUCUCACACCAUCUCCAGAGCUCUCUCUCUCGAUCUCAAACCCAGGCUCUCCACAUCUCGACCCUCUCUCCAUCAAGCUUCGUGCAUCUCCUUCAACGACUCUGCUUGUUGCUGCUUCAGUUAUAUGGUGUCUAAGAAGAAGUACAUCUUCACUAUUGACGACGAUUGCUUGCUCUCUCAGGCUUCUCCAUAGCAUCUCCGGCUCUGUCUGUGUGUCUCAAGCUCUCCUAAGCUUUGUCUGUCUUUCACUCUCUCGCUCACAAGUACUUGCGGCAAAGAAGUGUGUUAUGUGCUUUGUCUCAAGGUCUCCAAAGCUUUGUCGCUCACUCUAUUGUAAGAGCUUUUCCUUUUAUACUUGUUUUUUUUUUAGUAAGUUGUGGUUGCUUCUUGUUUAGUUCUGGUUUUCAUCUUAAAGCACUUUAAUUUUGUUGAAUAAGAGUUUGUUUUCACAAGUUUUAAACUUUGUUCUAAAGAAAUUUGAAAAGAGUACAUGGCCUCUUCGUUCA